GAUGAACGCUGGCGGCGUGCCUAAUACAUGCGAGUCGAGCGAACAGACGAGGAGCUUGCUCCUCUGACGUUAGCGGCGGACGGGUGAGUAACACGUGGAUAACCUACCUAUAAGACUGGGAUAACUUCGGGAAACCGGAGCUAAUACCGGAUAAUAUAUUGAACCGCAUGGUUCAAUAGUGAAAGACGGUUUUGCUGUCACUUAUAGAUGGAUCCGCGCCGCAUUAGCUAGUUGGUAAGGUAACGGCUUACCAAGGCGACGAUGCGUAGCCGACCUGAGAGGGUGAUCGGCCACACUGGAACUGAGACACGGUCCAGACUCCUACGGGAGGCAGCAGUAGGGAAUCUUCCGCAAUGGGCGAAAGCCUGACGGAGCAACGCCGCGUGUGUGAUGAAGGUCUUCGGAUCGUAAAACUCUGUUAUUAGGGAAGAACAAAUGUGUAAGUAACUAUGCACGUCUUGACGGUACCUAAUCAGAAAGCCACGGCUAACUACGUG
Molecule: ribosomal RNA, 497 nt
Filed under: uncultured bacterium
Lineage: Bacteria
Description: partial 16S ribosomal RNA
Rfam family: Bacterial small subunit ribosomal RNA
Source: RNAcentral